UGAUUUCUUUUUUUUUUCGGCUCAGGCGUUUCUUGUAUUGUUUUUUUUUUUCUGUUUUUUUUCUUCUUUUUUUUUUCCGCAGGAUCGACCUCGAUUCCUAUGAUUUGCCCACAACAAGCCUCGGCAGCUCACCGGACAGCACUCCAUAAGUGCACUGACUUAGACUCAACAGUAUGAGUUAUCUCAACCGGUCAAACAACUUGAUCAAGUCCACCGGGUGCCCCUCUUCUGCUUGGGACUUUGUCAUCAUGUCAUCAACAUGGCAUUCGCUUUC
RNAcentral lists this long non-coding RNA (274 nucleotides) under Lathyrus oleraceus (garden pea). RNAcentral's name for it is "Pisum sativum (pea) long non-coding RNA (PSAT_LNC038653)". Lineage: Eukaryota; Viridiplantae; Streptophyta; Magnoliopsida; Fabales; Fabaceae. The record is from RNAcentral.